AGCAGCCGCGGUAAUUCCAGCUCCAAUAGCGUAUAUUAAAGUUGUUGCAGUUAAAAAGCUCGUAGUUGAAUUUCGGGGUUAGUAGGUUGGUCAUGCCUCUGGUAUGUACUGGUCUCACUGAUUCCUCCUUCCUGAUGAAUCUUAAUGCCAUUAAUUUGGUGUUUUGGGGAAUUUGGACUGUUACUUUGAAAAAAUUAGAGUGUUUAAAGCAAGCUAACGCUUGAAUACAUUAGCAUGGAAUAAUGAAAUAGGACGUUCGAUCCUAUUUUGUUGGUUUCUAGGAUUGACGUAAUGAUUAAUAGGGAUAGUUGGGGGCAUUAGUAUUCAAUUGUCAGAGGUGAAAUUCUUGGAUUUAUUGAAGACUAACUACUGCGAAAGCAUUUGCCAAGGAUGUUUUCAUUAAUCAAGAACGAAAGUUAGGGGAUCGAAGACGAUCAGAUACCGUCGUAGUCUUAACCAUAUACUAUGCCGACUAGGGAUCGGAUGAUGUUAAUUUUUUAAUGACUCA
This 508-nucleotide ribosomal RNA is filed under the name uncultured glomeraceous AM fungus. RNAcentral's name for it is "SSU rRNA". It matches the Rfam family "Eukaryotic small subunit ribosomal RNA", at positions 569 to 1078 of the family's 1831-position model. The record is from RNAcentral. Lineage: Eukaryota; Fungi; Glomeromycota; Glomeromycetes; Glomerales; Glomeraceae.